This 274-nucleotide ribosomal RNA is filed under the name uncultured bacterium. Its description in RNAcentral is "partial 16S ribosomal RNA". It matches the Rfam family "Archaeal small subunit ribosomal RNA", at positions 473 to 747 of the family's 1478-position model. The record is from RNAcentral.
AAACCAGCACCUCAAGUGGUCAGGAGGAUUAUUGGGCCUAAAGCAUCCGUAGCUUGCUGCAUAAGUUUUCGGUUAAAUCCAUACGCUCAACGUAUGGGCUGCCGGGAAUACUGUGCAGCUAGGGAGUGGGAGAGGUAGACGGUACUCGGUAGGAAGGGGUAAAAUCCUUUGAUCUAUUGAUGACCACCUGUGGCGAAGGCGGUCUACCAGAACACGUUCGACGGUGAGGGAUGAAAGCUGGGGGAGCAAACCGGAUUAGAAACCCGUGUAGUCC